AUGGUGGUGGCAUGGGUCGGCUCAUGGCGGCGGUGUUGCGUCGGCGUGGUUCAGCUCAUGGUGGUGUACAGGUCGUGGCGCAGCGGCGGCUGGGCUCUCCGGCAUCGGCUCGUCUGCGUGCGGCCCUUGGGGAUGUUGUUGGUCUCUCUCGUGGAUGCAGGUUGUGGCCGGUCCGGCUCCUCGCGUCGUUGA
RNAcentral lists this ribosomal RNA (192 nucleotides) under Triticum aestivum (bread wheat). RNAcentral's name for it is "partial small subunit ribosomal RNA". Lineage: Eukaryota; Viridiplantae; Streptophyta; Magnoliopsida; Poales; Poaceae. The record is from RNAcentral.